GAAAGAGAUGAGAGGCAGAGAUUAUCCCACCGAGCGUGCCAAUUUGUGAACACGGAAAAUUCCUGAAACGAAAGAGACAAGAAACGACGUGCACAAACAAAUAUUUGUAUUUGAUGAUUUUGGGUUACAAUCUCUCUUUAUUUUGAUCCUCUGAUUCGAUCUCCGUAAGGUGUGUAUUUGUGGAUGUGCGAUUGAUCCAAAGGGUCGUUGGGCUUGAUCUAAGGAUGAACGUUCUUCAAGGGCCGUGGACUUGAUCUUGAAGGUGGAUUUGAGCAGAUCUUCAAAGGGGCUUUUGGGCUUGAUCUUUGAAGAACAGUGAUGAACGGAUCUCCAAGGGCUUUUGGGCUUGACCUUGAAGAACAGUGAUGAACGGAUCUUCAAGGGCUUUUGGGCUUGAUCUUGAAGAACGGUU
Molecule: long non-coding RNA, 412 nt
Filed under: Malus domestica (apple)
Lineage: Eukaryota; Viridiplantae; Streptophyta; Magnoliopsida; Rosales; Rosaceae
Description: long non-coding RNA (MDOM_LNC012767)
Source: RNAcentral